UACGAAGGGGGCUAGCGUUGUUCGGAAUUACUGGGCGUAAAGGGCGCGUAGGCGGUUUUGUUAGUCAGGCGUGAAAGGCCCGGGCUCAACCUGGGGACUGCGCUUGAAACGGCAAGACUUGAAGACGGGAGAGGAUGGCGGAAUUCCCAGUGUAGAGGUGAAAUUCGUAGAUAUUGGGAAGAACACCGGUGGCGAAGGCGGCCAUCUGGCCCGUUCUUGACGCUGAGGCGCGAAAGCGUGGGGAGCAAACAGG
Molecule: ribosomal RNA, 253 nt
Filed under: uncultured bacterium
Lineage: Bacteria
Description: partial 16S ribosomal RNA
Rfam family: Bacterial small subunit ribosomal RNA
Source: RNAcentral